This 344-nucleotide ribosomal RNA is filed under the name uncultured soil bacterium. RNAcentral's name for it is "bacterial SSU rRNA". It matches the Rfam family "Bacterial small subunit ribosomal RNA", at positions 26 to 377 of the family's 1533-position model. The record is from RNAcentral.
AGAUUGAACGCUGGCGGCAUGCCUAACACAUGCAAGUCGAACGGGAGUAGCAAUACUCUAGUGGCGGACGGGUGAGGAAUACGUAGGAAUUUGCCCUUAAGUGGGGGAUAACCCGGGGAACCCGGAUUAAUACCGCAUGACCUCGAAAGAGCAAAGUGGGGGAUCGCAAGACCUCACGCUUUUGGAGAAGCCUACGUCGGAUUAGCUAGUUGGUGAGGUAAUGGCUCACCAAGGCGACGACUCCGUAACUGGUCUGAGAGGAUGAUCAGUCACACCGGAACUGAGACACGGUCCGGACUCCGUACGGGAGGCACGCGAGGUGGGAAUAGUUAGGACAAGUGGCG